CGGGACACGUGGUAUCCUGUCUGAAUAUGGGGGGACCAUCCUCCAAGGCUAAAUACUCCUGACUGACCGAUAGUGAACCAGUACCGUGAGGGAAAGGCGAAAAGAACCCCGGCGAGGGGAGUGAAAAAGAACCUGAAACCGUGUACGUACAAGCAGUGGGAGCACGCUUAGGCGUGUGACUGCGUACCUUUUGUAUAAUGGGUCAGCGACUUAUAUUCUGUAGCAAGGUUAACCGAAUAGGGGAGCCGAAGGGAAACCGAGUCUUAACUGGGCGUUAAGUUGCAGGGUAUAGACCCGAAACCCGGUGAUCUAGCCAUGGGCAGGUUGAAGGUUGGGUAACACUAACUGGAGGACCGAACCGACUAAUGUUGAAAAAUUAGCGGAUGACUUGUGGCUGGGGGUGAAAGGCCAAUCAAACCGGGAGAUAGCUGGUUCUCCCCGAAAGCUAUUUAGGUAGCGCCUCGUGAAUUCAUCUCCGGGGGUAGAGCACUGUUUCGGCAAGGGGGUCAUCCCGACUUACCAACCCGAUGCAAACUGCGAAUACCGGAGAAUGUUAUCACGGGAGACACACGGCGGGUGCUAACGUCCGUCGUGAAGAGGGAAACAACCCAGACCGCCAGCUAAGGUCCCAAAGUCAUGGUUAAGUGGGAAACGAUGUGGGAAGGCCCAGACAGCCAGGAUGUUGGCUUAGAAGCAGCCAUCAUUUAAAGAAAGCGUAAUAGCUCACUGGUCGAGUCGGCCUGCGCGGAAGAUGUAACGGGGCUAAACCAUGCACCGAAGCUGCGGCAGCGACGCU
This 796-nucleotide ribosomal RNA is filed under the name Escherichia coli. RNAcentral's name for it is "partial 23S ribosomal RNA". It matches the Rfam family "Bacterial large subunit ribosomal RNA", at positions 418 to 1215 of the family's 2925-position model. Lineage: Bacteria; Pseudomonadati; Pseudomonadota; Gammaproteobacteria; Enterobacterales; Enterobacteriaceae. The record is from RNAcentral.